ACCCAACCACAAUACACAGUUAAAACACCAAUUGUUCGCCAAAUAACUACGAGUAGUAACUUAAAACUUAAAAGACUUGACGGUGCUUCAUCACAACCUAGAGGAGCCUGUCUAAUAACCGAUAACCCACGAUUAACCCAACCCACUCUUGCCAACAGUCUAUAUACCACCGUCGCAAGCUUACCUUAUAAAAGAAACAAAGUGAGCUAAAUAGUACACACUAAAACGACAGGUCGAGGUGUAACCUAUGAGAGGGUAAAGAUGGGCUACAUUCUCUACAGAGAAUACGAAUAACACUAUGAACAUAGUGUUUGAAGGAGGAUUUAGCAGUAAGAUAGGAAUAWAACACCUAACUGAAUAUAACGCAAUGAGGUGCGUACACACCGCCCGUCACCCCUGCCUACAU
Molecule: ribosomal RNA, 406 nt
Filed under: Atheris ceratophora
Lineage: Eukaryota; Metazoa; Chordata; Lepidosauria; Squamata; Viperidae
Description: partial 12S small subunit ribosomal RNA
Rfam family: Bacterial small subunit ribosomal RNA
Source: RNAcentral